UAGAGUUUGAUCCUGGCUCAGGAUGAACGCUGGCGGCGUGCUUAACACAUGCAAGUCGAACGAGGUCCAACCUUCGGGUGAAGACCGAGUGGCGAACGGGUGAGUAACACGUGGGCAAUCUACCCCUCCCUCUGGGAUAACUCAGGGAAACUUGAGCUAAUACCGGAUACUCCGAUCAGGUCGCAUGGCCAGAUCGGGAAAGCUCCGGCGGAGAGGGAUGAGCCCGCGGCCCAUUAGCUUGUUGGCGGGGUAAUGGCCCACCAAGGCAACGAUGGGUAGCCGAGCUGAGAGGCUGAUCGGCCACACUGGGACUGAGACACGGCCCAGACUCCUACGGGAGGCAGCAGUGGGGAAUCUUGCGCAAUGGGCGAAAGCCUGACGCAGCAACGCCGCGUGCGGGAUGAAGGCUCUCGGGUCGUAAACCGCUUUCAGCAGGGACGAAAAUGACUGUACCUGCAGAAGAAGCCCCGGCUAAAUACGUGCCAGCCGCCGCGGUAAUAC
Molecule: ribosomal RNA, 501 nt
Filed under: uncultured bacterium
Lineage: Bacteria
Also listed under: 1 other name
Description: bacterial SSU rRNA
Rfam family: Bacterial small subunit ribosomal RNA
Source: RNAcentral